Molecule: ribosomal RNA, 483 nt
Filed under: uncultured bacterium
Lineage: Bacteria
Description: bacterial SSU rRNA
Rfam family: Bacterial small subunit ribosomal RNA
Source: RNAcentral
UUGAACGCUGGCGGCAGGCCUAACACAUGCAAGUCGAGCGGUAGAGAGGUGCUUGCAUCUCUUGAGAGCGGCGGACGGGUGAGUAAUGCCUAGGAAUCUGCCUAGUGGUGGGGGAUAACGUUCGGAAACGGACGCUAAUACCGCAUACGUCCUACGGGAGAAAGCGGGGGAUCUUCGGACCUCGCGCCAUUAGAUGAGCCUAGGUCGGAUUAGCUAGUUGGUGGGGUAAUGGCUCACCAAGGCGACGAUCCGUAACUGGUCUGAGAGGAUGAUCAGUCACACUGGAACUGAGACACGGUCCAGACUCCUACGGGAGGCAGCAGUGGGGAAUUUUGGACAAUGGGCGCAAGCCUGAUCCAGCCAUUCCGCGUGAGUGAAGAAGGCCUUCGGGUUGUAAAGCUCUUUCGCAAGGGAAGAAAACUUACACAAUAACACUGUGUGAGGCUGACGGUACCUUGAUAAGAAGCACCGGCUAACUACGUG